Molecule: unclassified non-coding RNA, 391 nt
Filed under: soil metagenome
Description: partial contains 5.8S ribosomal RNA, internal transcribed spacer 2, and large subunit ribosomal RNA
Rfam family: 5.8S ribosomal RNA (bases 1-122)
Source: RNAcentral
GAUGAAGAACGCAGUGAAAUGCGAUACUUGGUGUGAAUUGCAGAAUCCCGUGAACCAUCGAGUCUUUGAACGCAAGUUGCGCCCGAAGCCAUUAGGCCGAGGGCACGCCUGCCUGGGCGUCACACGUCGUUGCCCCCCCAUCUACUCCUUCGGGAUUGCGGGGGGCGGAUGAUGGCCUCCCGUGCGCCUCGCCGCGCGGUUGGCAUAAAUGCCAAGUCCUCGGCGACGCACGCCACGACAAUCGGUGGUUGCGAAACCGCGGUUGCCCGUCGUGUGCGGUCGUCGCGCAUCGAGGGCUCGAAAAAAUUGCCGGGUUCCGGCUCGGCUUUCAACGCGACCCCAGGUCAGGCGGGGUUACCCGCUGAAUUUAAGCAUAUCAAUAAGCGGAGGA